GGUGUUUCUUUUUCUCUUAAAGGGGUCAUGAACUGCCUUUUUCUAUUAUUUUGUACUGUUGUCUGAGGUCCCCUUAUAAUAUUAUCAAGAUUUUAACAUCAAAACAUCAUCAUUUAGAAGU
Long non-coding RNA from Sinocyclocheilus rhinocerous, 121 nucleotides. RefSeq lists it as uncharacterized. The record is from RefSeq and is a predicted model, not a curated record. The transcript is spliced from 3 exons. NCBI's taxonomy places the organism in Eukaryota, Metazoa, Chordata, Actinopteri, Cypriniformes, Cyprinidae.